AUUGAACGCUGGCGGAAUGCUUUACACAUGCAAGUCGAACGGCAGCACGGGGGUAACCCUGGUGGCGAGUGGCGAACGGGUGAGUAAUACAUCGGAACGUGCCCGGUCGUGGGGGAUAACGUAGCGAAAGUUACGCUAAUACCGCAUACGAUCUGAGGAUGAAAGCGGGGGACCUUCGGGCCUCGCGCGAUCGGAUCGGCCGAGGUCGGAUUAGGUAGUUGGUGGGGUAAAGGCCUACCAAGCCGGCGAUCUGUAGCUGGUCUGAGAGGACGACCAGCCACACUGGGACUGAGACACGGCCCAGACUCCUACGGGAGGCAGCAGUGGGGAAUUUUGGACAAUGGGCGCAAGCCUGAUCCAGCCAUGCCGCGUGCAGGACGAAGGCCUUCGGGUUGUAAACUGCUUUUGUAUGGAACGAAAAGGCUCUGGCUAAUACCUGGGGCUCAUGACGGUACCGUAAGAAUAAGCACCGGCUAACUACGUG
This 484-nucleotide ribosomal RNA is filed under the name uncultured bacterium. Its description in RNAcentral is "partial 16S ribosomal RNA". It matches the Rfam family "Bacterial small subunit ribosomal RNA", at positions 30 to 507 of the family's 1533-position model. The record is from RNAcentral.